CGGAUGAACGCUAGCGGCAGGCCUAAUACAUGCAAGACGAACGGUAAGUUUGAUAGCAAUAUUGAACCUAGAGUGUCGUAAGGGUGCGUAACACGUAUGCAAUCUACCCUCAACAGGAGGAUAGCUCCCCGAAAGGGGAAUUAACACUCCAUAAGAUCACAGGAUGGCAUCAUUCAGUGAUUAAAACUCCGGUGGUUGAGGAUGAGCAUGCGCAUGAUUAGUUAGUUGGCGGGGUAAUGGCCCACCAAGACGAUGAUCAUUAGGGGAACUGAGAGGUUGAUCCCCCACACUGGCACUGAGAUACGGGCCAGACUCCUACGGGAGGCAGCAGUAGGGAAUAUUGGACAAUGGGUGCGAGCCUGAACCAGCCAUGCCGCGUGCAGGAUGACGGCCCUACGGGUUGUAAACUGCUUUUCCCCGGGGCGAAUAACCCCCUCGCGAGGGGGGAUGCCGGUACCGGGGGAAUAAGGAUCGGCUAACUCCGUG
Molecule: ribosomal RNA, 486 nt
Filed under: uncultured bacterium
Lineage: Bacteria
Description: bacterial SSU rRNA
Rfam family: Bacterial small subunit ribosomal RNA
Source: RNAcentral